GGGGUUGUGGCUCAGUGGCAGAGCACUUGCCUAGCAUGUGUGAGGCACUGGGUUCGAUCCUCAGCCCCA
This 69-nucleotide transfer RNA is filed under the name Ictidomys tridecemlineatus (thirteen-lined ground squirrel). RNAcentral describes it as "Spermophilus tridecemlineatus (thirteen-lined ground squirrel) tRNA". It matches the Rfam family "tRNA". Rfam says of the family: Transfer RNA (tRNA) molecules are approximately 80 nucleotides in length. Their secondary structure includes four short double-helical elements and three loops (D, anti-codon, and T loops). Further hydrogen bonds mediate the characteristic L-shaped molecular structure. tRNAs have two regions of fundamental functional importance: the anti-codon, which is responsible for specific mRNA codon recognition, and the 3' end, to which the tRNAs corresponding amino acid is attached (by aminoacyl-tRNA synthetases). tRNAs cope with the degeneracy of the genetic code in two manners: having more than one tRNA (with a specific anti-codon) for a particular amino acid; and 'wobble' base-pairing, i.e. permitting non-standard base-pairing at the 3rd anti-codon position. The record is from Rfam by way of RNAcentral. Lineage: Eukaryota; Metazoa; Chordata; Mammalia; Rodentia; Sciuridae.